Molecule: microRNA precursor, 84 nt
Organism: Gopherus evgoodei (Goodes thornscrub tortoise)
Lineage: Eukaryota; Metazoa; Chordata; Testudines; Testudinidae
Source: Ensembl
CUGCCAGAGCUGUGGAGUGUGACAAUGGUGUUUGUGUCCAAUCUAUCAAACGCCAUUAUCACACUAAAUAGCUACUGUUAGAUA